This 492-nucleotide ribosomal RNA is filed under the name uncultured bacterium. Its description in RNAcentral is "bacterial SSU rRNA". It matches the Rfam family "Bacterial small subunit ribosomal RNA", at positions 28 to 507 of the family's 1533-position model. The record is from RNAcentral.
GAUGAACGCUAGCUACAGGCUUAACACAUGCAAGUCGAGGGGAAACGAUAUUGGAAGCUUGCUUCCGAUAGGCGUCGACCGGCGCACGGGUGAGUAACGCGUAUCCAACCUGCCCACCACUUGGGGAUAACCUUGCGAAAGUAAGACUAAUACCCAAUGACGUCUCUAGAAGACAUCUGAAAGGGAUUAAAGAUUUAUCGGUGAUGGAUGGGGAUGCGUCUGAUUAGCUUGUUGGCGGGGUAACGGCCCACCAAGGCGACGAUCAGUAGGGGUUCUGAGAGGAAGGUCCCCCACAUUGGAACUGAGACACGGUCCAAACUCCUACGGGAGGCAGCAGUGAGGAAUAUUGGUCAAUGGGCGAGAGCCUGAACCAGCCAAGUAGCGUGCAGGAUGACGGCCCUAUGGGUUGUAAACUGCUUUUAUAAGGGAAUAAAGUGAACCUCGUGAGGCUUUUUGCAUGUACCUUAUGAAUAAGGACCGGCUAAUUCCGUG